GGUGAACGCUGGCGGCGUGCCUAAUACAUGCAAGUCGAGCGAACAGACGAGGAGCUUGCUCCUCUGACGUUAGCGGCGGACGGGUGAGUAACACGUGGAUAACCUACCUAUAAGACUGGGAUAACUUCGGGAAACCGGAGCUAAUACCGGAUAAUAUAUUGAACCGCAUGGUUCAAUAGUGAAAGACGGUUUUGCUGUCACUUAUAGAUGGAUCCGCGCCGCAUUAGCUAGUUGGCAAGGUAACGGCUUACCAAGGCAACGAUGCGUAGCCGACCUGAGAGGGUGAUCGGCCACACUGGAACUGAGACACGGUCCAGACUCCUACGGGAGGCAGCAGUAGGGAAUCUUCCGCAAUGGGCGAAAGCCUGACGGAGCAACGCCGCGUGAGUGAUGAAGGUCUUCGGAUCGUAAAACUCUGUUAUUAGGGAAGAACAAAUGUGUAAGUAACUAUGCACGUCUUGACGGUACCUAAUCAGAAAGCCACGGCUAACUACGUG
This 497-nucleotide ribosomal RNA is filed under the name uncultured bacterium. RNAcentral describes it as "partial 16S ribosomal RNA". It matches the Rfam family "Bacterial small subunit ribosomal RNA", at positions 28 to 507 of the family's 1533-position model. The record is from RNAcentral.